AACGAACGCUGGCGGCAUGCCUAACACAUGCAAGUCGAACGGGAUCCAUCCUUCGGGGUGGUGAGAGUGGCGGACGGGUGAGUAACGCGUGGGAACCUGCCCAGUGGUGGGGGAUAACUGCGGGAAACUGCAGCUAAUACCGCAUGAGCCCGAGAGGGGAAAGAUUUAUCGCCAUUGGAGGGGCCCGCGUUCGAUUAGGUAGUUGGUGAGGUAAUGGCUCACCAAGCCUGCGAUCGAUAGCUGGUCUGAGAGGAUGAUCAGCCACACUGGGACUGAGAUACGGCCCAGACUCCUACGGGAGGCAGCAGUGGGGAAUAUUGGACAAUGGGGGCAACCCUGAUCCAGCAAUGCCGCGUGAGUGAUGAAGGCCUUAGGGUUGUAAAGCUCUUUUGGCGGGGACGAUGAUGACGGUACCCGCAGAAUAAGCCCCGGCUAACUUCGUGCCAGCAGCCGCGGUAAUACGAAGGGGGCAAGCGUUGUUCGGAAUUACUGGGCGUAAAGGGCGCGUAGGCGGCUUAUCAAGUCAGGCGUGAAAUUCCCGGGCUCAACCUGGGGGCUGCGCUUGAUACUGGUUGGCUUGAAUACGGGAGAGGAUAGUGGAAUUCCCAGUGUAGAGGUGAAAUUCGUAGAUAUUGGGAAGAACACC
RNAcentral lists this ribosomal RNA (646 nucleotides) under uncultured bacterium. RNAcentral describes it as "bacterial SSU rRNA". It matches the Rfam family "Bacterial small subunit ribosomal RNA", at positions 28 to 710 of the family's 1533-position model. The record is from RNAcentral.